RNAcentral lists this ribosomal RNA (429 nucleotides) under Fusobacteriota bacterium. RNAcentral's name for it is "Fusobacteria bacterium partial 16S ribosomal RNA". It matches the Rfam family "Bacterial small subunit ribosomal RNA", at positions 355 to 776 of the family's 1533-position model. Lineage: Bacteria; Fusobacteriati; Fusobacteriota. The record is from RNAcentral.
UAGGGAAUCUUCCGCAAUGGGCGCAAGCCUGACGGAGCAACGCCGCGUGUGUGAAGAAGGUCUUCGGAUCGUAAAGCACUGUUGUUAGAGAAGAACGACCGCUAGAGUAACUGUUAGCGGAGUGACGGUAUCUAACCAGAAAGCCACGGCUAACUACGUGCCAGCAGCCGCGGUAAUACGUAGGUGGCAAGCGUUGUCCGGAUUUAUUGGGCGUAAAGGGAGCGCAGGCGGUGACUUAAGUCUGAUGUGAAAGCCCACGGCUCAACCGUGGAGGGUCAUUGGAAACUGGGUCACUUGAGUGCAGAAGAGGAAAGUGGAAUUCCAUGUGUAGGGGUGAAAUGCGUAGAUAUAUGGAGGAACACCAGUGGCGAAGGCGACUUUCUGGUCUGUAACUGACGCUGAGGCUCGAAAGCGUGGGGAGCAAACAGG